GGCUCAGGACGAACGCUGGCGGCGUGCCUAAUACAUGCAAGUCGAACGGUCUUUCUAUGGAAGCUUGCUUCCACUGAGAAGAUAGUGGCGAACGGGUGAGUAACACGUGGGUAACCUGCCCAUAAGAGGGGGAUAACAUCCGGAAACGGGUGCUAAUACCGCAUAGUUUUCUUGAUUGCAUGAUUGAGAAGGAAAGACGGCCUUUGUGCUGUCGCUUAUGGAUGGACCCGCGGCGUAUUAGUUAGUUGGUGAGGUAACGGCUCACCAAGACGAUGAUACGUAGCCGACCUGAGAGGGUGAUCGGCCACAUUGGGACUGAGACACGGCCCAAACUCCUACGGGAGGCAGCAGUAGGGAAUCUUCCGCAAUGGACGAAAGUCUGACGGAGCAACGCCGCGUGAGUGAAAGAAGGUUUUCGGAUCGUAAAACUCUGUUGUCAGAGAAGAACAAGUCGGAGAGUAACUGCUCCAGCCUUGACGGUAUCUGACCAGAAAGCCACGGCUAACUACGUGCCAGCCGCCGC
RNAcentral lists this ribosomal RNA (523 nucleotides) under uncultured bacterium. RNAcentral describes it as "bacterial SSU rRNA". It matches the Rfam family "Bacterial small subunit ribosomal RNA", at positions 21 to 518 of the family's 1533-position model. The record is from RNAcentral.